AUGAUUGCUCUUAUCGGUAUGGCUCCUACCGAGGAGGAGGGAGAAGAGAAGAAGAAGAGGGAAAGGAAAGCAGCCGGAGCUGCUUUCACGUGGAUUCAAAAUAACUUUGCGACGUGCCCUGCGUGCCCCACUGAUGAUGUGAUCUAGACACAUGCUUGUGUCUAUAUGUGGUACGUUGUCUCGAGGACUUUGUUUCCUAACUCCACGGGCAAGAACGCUCCAUGA
RNAcentral lists this ribosomal RNA (225 nucleotides) under Triticum aestivum (bread wheat). RNAcentral's name for it is "partial small subunit ribosomal RNA". Lineage: Eukaryota; Viridiplantae; Streptophyta; Magnoliopsida; Poales; Poaceae. The record is from RNAcentral.